CACGUAGGGCGCAAGCGUUGUCCGGAAUUAUUGGGCGUAAAGAGCUCGUAGGCGGUCUGUUGCGUCCGCUGUGAAAACUCGGGGCUUAACCCCGAGCCUGCAGUGGAUACGGGCAGACUAGAGGUAGGUAGGGGAGAAUGGAAUUCCCGGUGUAGCGGUGAAAUGCGCAGAUAUCGGGAGGAACACCGGUGGCGAAGGCGGGUCUCUGGGGCCGAUAC
This 218-nucleotide ribosomal RNA is filed under the name uncultured bacterium. RNAcentral's name for it is "partial 16S ribosomal RNA". It matches the Rfam family "Bacterial small subunit ribosomal RNA", at positions 524 to 740 of the family's 1533-position model. The record is from RNAcentral.